AGUGAUAGCACUGAGGAAAGCCGGUAGACCUAGAGGCCACUACCAAGUUCCCCUCCAUGUGAUUUGUUGAAUUCCAGACCAGGAGGACCAUCACCUUGGACAAACACUGCCUAUUUAAGUUCCAGCUCCCUUUCUAGCGUCAUGCAUUUCAAGGAAAUCACUUCUCUUAUUACAAGCAGCCAGAAAGAGCAGACAGUAAAACACAGACACUGAAACUGGACAUUGUAGAAGAUGAAUUAUGAGAGUGAUUUAUGAAAGAAAGAUAAUGGAGAAUUACAAUCGAUGGAGACAUUCAAAGACAAGACUUUGGCGCUACAUCAAAAG
Long non-coding RNA from Symphalangus syndactylus (siamang), 324 nucleotides. RefSeq lists it as uncharacterized. NCBI's taxonomy places the organism in Eukaryota, Metazoa, Chordata, Mammalia, Primates, Hylobatidae. The record is from RefSeq and is a predicted model, not a curated record.